UGCAUAAAUUGUGUUUGACUGAAAAGCUUAUUUUGAAAUAUUCUACAUUCUACGAAUGAUAAAACUGCUAGACGGUAAGAUUUGUGAAGGAGCGCCACUGGUAGGAGCGUUUGAGUUAUAUAGUGGUUUUCAAUUUGCAUAACACUGACUGUAAAAUAUGUAUUUUAGGUAUGGGAAUUGCAUAUUUUGAGUUUUGAUAUUUGGUAUAUGGUCAUUUGGUCUACUUUUUGGGCUAGUUUUGACUGGUCAUUGUGCUAGUUUAGUUACGCAGACCGGGCAACCCUGAAAUCCAGUAUCAUGGUCUGGCCAAUCCUAUUCCAAACAUCAAUGAUCUGACCUGAUAUUUCGCUCAAAGUGAUCAGAUUCUAACAUUAUUUCUCCUGUGUUUUCAGGCUCUUCUCUGAUCAUCCCUCUGGUUCUGUUUUUUCUGGUUCUGAUCACAGCUGGACUCUUAUUACUGUUUUUCUGUAAGAAGCGUCAGUCUCAAGGUGGUGAUUCGUCAUCUCAGACUGGACCAGGAAAACAUGAAGUGGUUUCUCACACUGGUUGUGAUUAUGAGGAGAUUAAAGAUGCUCACACACAAUUACCCACAAACCCCUCUGAUUCUAACUGCGUUUACACUACAGUUCAGAAAGCCACUGGUGACUCUCAGUGCUGCAUCACAUCUGCUGAGGAUCUGAAUUAUGCUGUGGUGAAUUUCCACAAGAAAUCUGACUGUCCUGACAGUGUCAGUAGCAGGAAUAAUCAGGAUUACAGUGAAUACGCUGCUGUCAAUCAUCUCACUGCUUGACCAACAACAGCAGAGAAUAUAAAUGAGCUGAAUGUUUUAUCACCUUGUCUUUAGCAUUAAGUUUGCAUGUUUGGUGUUUUUUGUAAGUCUUCAGUGAUGCUCCUUUUCCUUAUAUUUUAGUCAGUUUUGUGAAUCAGACUUUUGACUGUUGGAAUGAAGUCUGUAAUAUGCAUGAAUUAUGGAAAGCUGAAAUGCACAUAAAAGCACAAUGUCUGAGCUUUAUGAGUGUCUGUUGUGAAGCCUGAGGUCUUUUUAGCUUUUGCUCAAAAAAUGUUUAUUCCAGAAAAUUCACUCCCCACUGAUGUAAUUGUAAUGUAACAGAGACUCGUUCGAGCUCAGGUUGAGAUCCAUAUGUGGCAGAAUAAGUGAUUUAUCUUAUUGGGCUGUUUGGGGUUUGGUUUUGAGCAGACCAAUGAGGUAGAAGCGGCCGUACCAUUUAAAGACCCUUACUUUGGUGAGUGUGUAUGUAUACUGCUGAUUCCGGGUUCUCCUCUCCCUGGCAUUUCCGUUCCCGUUUUUGUUCAUGUUCAGGUAUGUUGAGACUCUGCUGACGGUGUAAUGAUGUGUUCAGUUCGAAGCUAAUAUGAAAUAGUUUAAUAGCGGAGCUGGUGGCAUAGGUGGCAAGUUUGUGGUGGAGUUUUCUCUUAGGUAGUUUGGUAUCCGCAUUAAAUUUCUUGAUCACUUGUGGUUGGAGGUAUUUUUUGUAUUGUUCAUAGUAACAGAUGUUAGCAGGUGUGUGAAUGCUGGCCGGUAGACUGAGCAAUGGCACCUGUUGUGAGUAACAAUACCGCUUUGCGUCUGGUGUUUGUUCAACCCGUUAGCUGUUUUGCUGGUCAUUUGGGCUGGUAGCUAUGAGCUUUUUGUGUGCUAGGCUUCUUAUUACAUUUAUUUUGAUUUGCUUUCAAGUAUAGUUUGUUUUUCUAGAUUUUUCUUUUUUCUGUUGCUUGUUUUUUUUUUUUUUUUUUUUUUUUUUUUUGCAAACAUUGCUCAUUUAUUUUGUUGCUGUCUUUGUGUUAUUCUUUGUUGCUAUUUCUGAUUUGGUUUUGUUCUAUUGCAGCUUUAUUACAGUAUGAAUUUCUUUUCUUUUUUUCAGUGGCGCCCCCAGAAAAUUUUAAUAGGGGUGGCCAGACGAGGCCACAGCAAUU
Megalobrama amblycephala (Wuchang bream) is the source of this 1935-nucleotide long non-coding RNA. RefSeq lists it as uncharacterized. The record is from RefSeq and is a predicted model, not a curated record. NCBI's taxonomy places the organism in Eukaryota, Metazoa, Chordata, Actinopteri, Cypriniformes, Xenocyprididae. The transcript has 3 exons.